Molecule: ribosomal RNA, 498 nt
Filed under: uncultured bacterium
Lineage: Bacteria
Description: partial 16S ribosomal RNA
Rfam family: Bacterial small subunit ribosomal RNA
Source: RNAcentral
GACGAACGCUGGCGGCGUGCCUAAUACGUGCAAGUCGAACGAGAGCGACCGGCGCUUGCACUGGUCAAUCUAGUGGCGAACGGGUGAGUAACACGUGGGUAACCUGCCCAUCAGAGGGGGAUAACAUCCGGAAACGGAUGCUAAAACCGCAUAGGUCUUCGAGCCGCAUGGCUUGAAGAGGAAAAGAGGCGCAAGCUUCUGCUGAUGGAUGGACCCGCGGUGCAUUAGCUAGUUGGUGAGGUAACGGCUCACCAAGGCCGUGAUGCAUAGCCGACCUGAGAGGGUGAUCGGCCACAUUGGGACUGAGACACGGCCCAAACUCCUACGGGAGGCAGCAGUAGGGAAUCUUCCGCAAUGGACGCAAGUCUGACGGAGCAACGCCGCGUGAGUGAAGAAGGUUUUCGGAUCGUAAAACUCUGUUGUUAGAGAAGAACAAGUGCUAGAGUAACUGUUAGCGCCUUGACGGCAUCUAACCAGAAAGCCACGGCUAACUACGUG